CCACUCACCAACUACAACAGCAAAAAAGUCAGGAAAAACUUUUUUUUUGUUUUUCUGACACUUAGCUGGAUUCCUGGUUGGUCCCAACCACCCUGGACAGGAUGCACCCAGCUUGGGAUAACCAAGGUGAAGCCAUGCAUCAUCUAUGAUGCUGAUUCACUAUGUGGACAUGACACAUCCAAUAGGGGCUUCCUAGACUGCUCUAU
Thalassophryne amazonica is the source of this 206-nucleotide long non-coding RNA. RefSeq lists it as uncharacterized. The transcript has 3 exons. The record is from RefSeq and is a predicted model, not a curated record. Lineage: Eukaryota; Metazoa; Chordata; Actinopteri; Batrachoidiformes; Batrachoididae.